ACCCAGCUGAUGAGCCCCAAACAGGACGAAAUGCGCCUCUUGGAU
Molecule: non-coding RNA, 45 nt
Organism: Schistosoma haematobium
Lineage: Eukaryota; Metazoa; Platyhelminthes; Trematoda; Strigeidida; Schistosomatidae
Source: Rfam